RNAcentral lists this ribosomal RNA (433 nucleotides) under uncultured bacterium. RNAcentral's name for it is "partial 16S ribosomal RNA". It matches the Rfam family "Bacterial small subunit ribosomal RNA", at positions 29 to 507 of the family's 1533-position model. The record is from RNAcentral.
AACGAACGCUGGCGGCAUGCCUAACACAUGCAAGUCGAACGAGACCUUCGGGUCUAGUGGCGCACGGGUGCGUAACGCGUGGGAACCUGCCCUUAGGUUCGGAAUAACUCCCCGAAAGGGGUGCUAAUACCGGAUAAUGUCUUCGGACCAAAGAUUUAUCGCCUUUGGAUGGGCCCGCGUUGGAUUAGCUAGUUGGUAGGGUAAAAGCCUACCAAGGCGACGAUCCAUAGCUGGUCUGAGAGGAUGAUCAGCCACACUGGGACUGAGACACGGCCCAGACUCCUACGGGAGGCAGCAGUGGGGAAUACUGGACAAUGGGCGAAAGCCUGAUCCAGCAAUGCCGCGUGAGUGAUGAAGGCCUUAGGGUUGUAAAGCUCUUUUACCCGGGAUGAUAAUGACAGUACCAGGAGAAUAAGCUCCGGCUAACUCCGUG